This is a microRNA precursor of Sorghum bicolor (sorghum), 197 nucleotides long. It matches the Rfam family "MIR1435 microRNA precursor family". The record is from Rfam. NCBI's taxonomy places the organism in Eukaryota, Viridiplantae, Streptophyta, Magnoliopsida, Poales, Poaceae.
UGACAUUGUCCUAAGUCAAACUUGUCUAUCUUUGACCAAGUUGAAAAAUAUAUUAACAUCUACAAUAUCAAAUGAAUCCACUAUCGAAAUAUUAUUUCCUGGUGUGUGCAAUGAAUAUAGUUUGAUGUAGCAGAUGUUUGUGCAUUUUUCUAUAAACUUGGUCAAAGUUAGAGAAGUUUGACUUAGGACAAAGCUAA